UUAUGCUAGUUGUCUAAAUUACAUGUGAUUUUGAUACUGGAAUUGCUUCCGCUGCAUAUAAUAAUCCAUCAACUUCAAGUGAAAAUUACCACUAUUCUGUUGUUGCAUGACUUGCUAGCGCGCAAAUUCGUCUCAUCCAAUUGAAGAUCUCCUCCUCCUUUUUCGCCUGAGACCCAAUCUUCCAGCAGUAAAUUUUGAUAAGUCAAAUUUUCAGUAGAACGGUUUAAUUCUAUACUAAUUUAGUUGGCAAAAGACAAAAUUCAUAAUGCAUCUGCAAAACAAGGACAAUUACUGACAUGCAUGUAAAAAAUUCUACGAAGAAAUUAUUCAAACGAAUAGAAAACUAACAUAUACUAUCUAAUUUUUAAUUACCAGCAGAACAAGUACAAUAAACAAAGAAAAACAGUACAAAUAAGUCACCAAAUCAGAGAGCUCACACCAAAUUCAAAUAGAAGAAAGAUGGAUAAACUUUGAAUCAGUUAAGAUCAAAUCCUGAUUUUUAUCAACAUAUAGGCAAAAAACAAAAGAUUGCAAGAAAACUUACCAGAUCAAUGAGCUCACACUUGAAAGAGGGAAAACCAGAAAGAGCAAAAAAAUUGAGAAAGAAUUGAAAAACGAAAAGUAAAAGGAUAAGUG
Molecule: long non-coding RNA, 636 nt
Filed under: Nicotiana tabacum (common tobacco)
Lineage: Eukaryota; Viridiplantae; Streptophyta; Magnoliopsida; Solanales; Solanaceae
Description: long non-coding RNA (NTAB_LNC017291)
Source: RNAcentral